This 1144-nucleotide ribosomal RNA is filed under the name uncultured archaeon. RNAcentral describes it as "bacterial SSU rRNA". It matches the Rfam family "Archaeal small subunit ribosomal RNA", at positions 319 to 1478 of the family's 1478-position model. The record is from RNAcentral.
GAUUACGGGGGCGCAGCAGGCGCGAAAACGUNUACAAUGCGGGCAACCGUGAUAAGGGAACCUCGAGUGCCUGUAAAUGCAGGCUGUUCAGGUGCCUAAACACACCUGAAGAAAGGGCCGGGCAAGACCGGUGCCAGCCGCCGCGGUAAUACCGGCGGCUCGAGUGGUGGCCGCUUUUAUUGGGCUUAAAGCGUUCGUAGCUGGGUUGUUAAGUCUCUUGGGAAAUCUGCGGCUUAACCGUCAGGCGUCUAAGGGAUACUGGCAAUCUUGGAACCGGGAGAGGUGAGGGGUACUUCGGGGGUAGGAGUGAAAUCCUGUAAUCCUCGAGGGACCACCUGUGGCGAAGGCGCCUCACCAGAACGGCUUCGACAGUGAGGGACGAAAGCUGGGGGAGCAAACCGGAUUAGAUACCCGGGUAGUCCCAGCCGUAAACUAUGCGCGUUAGGUGUAUCGGUGACCACGAGUUACCGAGUGCCGAAGGGAAACCGUGAAACGUGCCGCCUGGGAAGUACGGUCGCAAGGCUGAAACUUAAAGGGAAUUGGCGGGGGAGCACCACAACAGGUGGAGCCUGCGGUUUAAUUGGACUCAACGCCGGGAAGCUCACCGGAUAAGACAGCAGAAUGAUUGCCGGGCUGAAGACUCUGCAUGACUAGCUGAGAGGAGGUGCAUGGCCGUCGUCAGUUCGUACUGUGAAGCAUCCUGUUAAGUCAGGCAACGAGCAAGACCCACGCCAACAGUUGCCAGCAUGGUCUCCGGACUGAUGGGGACACUGUUGGGACCGCCUCUGCUAAAGAGGAGGAAGGAAUGGGCAACGGUAGGUCAGCAUGCCCCGAAUUAUCCGGGCUACACGCGGGCUACAAUGGGCAGGACAAAUGGGCAUCGACACCGAAAGGUGAAGGCAAUCUCCUAAACCUGUCCUUAGUUCGGAUUGUGGGCUGCAACUCGCCCACAUGAAAGCUGGAAUCUGUAGUAAUCCGCGUUUCAAAAUAACGCGGUGAAUUUGUCCCUGCUCCUUGCACACAACCGCCGUCAAACCACCCGGAGUGGGGUUUCGGAUGAGGUUGCGGUUGUUGCCGCCAGUCGCAAUCUAGGUUCCGCCAAGGGGGUUAAGUCGUACAGGUACCGUAAUCCGAUUCCCGCGGC